Molecule: ribosomal RNA, 357 nt
Filed under: Escherichia coli
Lineage: Bacteria; Pseudomonadati; Pseudomonadota; Gammaproteobacteria; Enterobacterales; Enterobacteriaceae
Description: partial 23S ribosomal RNA
Rfam family: Bacterial large subunit ribosomal RNA
Source: RNAcentral
UGUGUGUUAGUGGAAGCGUCUGGAAAGGCGCGCGAUACAGGGUGACAGCCCCGUACACAAAAAUGCACAUGCUGUGAGCUCGAUGAGUAGGGCGGGACACGUGGUAUCCUGUCUGAAUAUGGGGGGACCAUCCUCCAAGGCUAAAUACUCCUGACUGACCGAUAGUGAACCAGUACCGUGAGGGAAAGGCGAAAAGAACCCCGGCGAGGGGAGUGAAAAAGAACCUGAAACCGUGUACGUACAAGCAGUGGGAGCACGCUUAGGCGUGUGACUGCGUACCUUUUGUAUAAUGGGUCAGCGACUUAUAUUCUGUAGCAAGGUUAACCGAAUAGGGGAGCCGAAGGGAAACCGAGUCUU